RNAcentral lists this transfer RNA (106 nucleotides) under Exserohilum turcicum. Its description in RNAcentral is "tRNA-Met". RNAcentral also lists the same sequence under 1 other name. The record is from RNAcentral. Lineage: Eukaryota; Fungi; Ascomycota; Dothideomycetes; Pleosporales; Pleosporaceae.
GUCUCGUUGGUGUAGUUGGUUAUCACGUGGGUCUCAUAUCUCCAUGUAUGACUGUUAGCUGUUAGCAGAUAUCCCAAGGCCGCCAGUUCGAGUCUGGCACGGGACA